GAUGAACGCUGGCGGCGUGCCUAAUACAUGCAAGUCGAGCGAACGGACGAGAAGCUUGCUUCUCUGAUGUUAGCGGCGGACGGGUGAGUAACACGUGGAUAACCUACCUAUAAGACUGGGAUAACUUCGGGAAACCGGAGCUAAUACCGGAUAAUAUUUUGAACCGCAUGGUUCAAAAGUGAAAGACGGUCUUGCUGUCACUUAUAGAUGGAUCCGCGCUGCAUUAGCUAGUUGGUAAGGUAACGGCUUACCAAGGCAACGAUGCAUAGCCGACCUGAGAGGGUGAUCAGCCACACUGGACCUGAGACACGGUCCAGACUCCUACGGGAGUCAGCAGUAGGGAAUCUUCCGCAAUGGGCGAACGCCUGACGGAGCGACGCCACGUGAGUGAUGAAGGUCUUCGGAUCGUAAAACUCUGUUAUUAGGGAAGAACAUAUUUGUAAGUAACUGUGCACAUCUUGACGGUACCUAAUCAGAAAGCCACGGCUAACUACGUG
This 497-nucleotide ribosomal RNA is filed under the name uncultured bacterium. RNAcentral describes it as "partial 16S ribosomal RNA". It matches the Rfam family "Bacterial small subunit ribosomal RNA", at positions 28 to 507 of the family's 1533-position model. The record is from RNAcentral.